CUCGAUCGAACUGUUUCUAAAACCCUAGGGUUUCCCCAAAUUUAUCUCUAAUUUCUUUUUUUUCUUUUUUUUUUCAAAUUUCAAAUCCUAUGGAAGAAAUUAUUGGCAAGGAGAAAAUGCCGGUUUUUAGGCGGUUGGCUGAUUACCUGUUGAAUUUUGAUUGCAGGUAAUGGCUUGAAGUACCUGUAUUCAUGGUUCUCUUACUCUUUAUAUCGAUCCGUGAAGCUGUUUCGAUGCUUUGAUCCGAUCUCCGAUUCUCUUUCGAUCUGCUGCUCUCGAACUCUUCACUCCCGUCAAUGGAUCCUUCUCUCACUCUUCGUAUCGAUCAGUGAAGCUGCUUCGAUGCUUUGAACCGAUCUCCAAUUCUCAUUGAUAUGCUGCUCUUCAGAUCUUGACUCCCGUUCAUGGAUCCUUCAAGAGGUUUUGUACCCAUGAUGAUGAUGAAUGAAUGCUGGGUACCGGUUAUCAUGAUGCACUUUCAUUUCUAUGCAUGCAGUUUGUGCUUCAUUUGGAUGCAUGGUAGGAAGGCAUUCCCACCUCUGUGAAGUAUGAUUGGGUCCAAUGCCAUUUUGAGGCUUCGGCUCAGUGGAAUCACAUCUCACCAUCCAUCCAAAUGGUGCAUUGAGCAAAUUUACUAGUUUGUUAUGUUGACCAAAGGACCUUAUUUACCCAGCUUCUCACCAUGCUUCAGUUUGUUUCUAGUUUUACUCUUGCAUCCUACAUAUAUAUGCUACAUUUAGCUGGACAAAAUGCUCUAGCAUUAGUAGCAAACCACCUCCUGAAGCUUCAUUGAGAACUCGUUGUGGAUGUGCUUUAAGGCCCAUCAGGUUCAGAUUUCUACUUGUCCUUCUUUAGAAUGAAAGAUAUUCUUUGAAGCAGCUUGUAGCUGAGUUUGGUGCCUUGCAGGCAUUGCUUGAGUUGACACAUGAAAUCAACAUGGAGCACAUAUUUGUAGUUGGAAACUUUUAAAAGUAGUUUGAGAUGGUUCUAGUUAAGUAUCUUUUCUUUCAUAGGUUAAGCAUCAUUCUGGGGUUUAUCACAUUAAAAUAUUAUUAGUAGUUAGUAUCAUUUUAAAUUUUUCUUCUGGAACAUGAUGUGAAUAUUUUCAUUUGGAAACAAAAAUACAUCUAUCGAUUUAUGCUCUUAUUAAGAACUUUUCCUGUAUUGAAGUUUUCUUCAAGCGGGUGCAGUAUAUUUUAACUUGGUUAAGAUUUGACACUAUUUGUCAGAUAAAUAUACGAGAAUUUGCUUUCUUUUUUAACUUUGUAAAAGGGCAUUAUACGAGACUUUAUGCUUCCAUCAAUGGUGCAAAUUCAUUGGUUGACAGUUGACGUCUACUUUUUGGUUGUAGGUUUUGUACCCAUCAUGAUGAUGAAUGAAUGCUGGGUACCGGUUAUCAUGAUGCACUUUCAUUUCUAUGCAUGCAGUUUGUGCUUCAUUUGGAUGCAUGGUAGGAAGGCAUUCCCACCUCUGUGAAGUAUGAUUGGGUCCAAUGCCAUUUUGAGGCUUCGGCUCAGUGGAAUCACAUCUCACCAUCCAUCCAAAUGGUGCAUUGAGCAAAUUUACUAGUUUGUUAUGUUGACCAAAGGACCUUAUUUACCCAGCUUCUCACCAUGCUUCAGUUUGUUUCUAGUUUUACUCUUGCAUCCUACAUAUAUAUGCUACAUUUAGCUGGACAAAAUGCUCUGGCAUCAGUAGCAAGCCACCUCCUGAAGCUUCAUUGAGAACUCGUUGUGGAUGUGCUUUUAGGCCAAUCAGGUUCAGAUUUCUACUUGUCCUUCUUUAGAAUGAAAGAUAUUCUUUGAAGCAGCUUGUAGCUGAGUUUGGUGCCUUGCAGGCAUUGCUUGAGUUGACACAUGAAAUCAACAUGGAGCACUUAUUUGUAGUUGGAAACUUUUAAAAAUAGUUUGAGAUGGUUCUAGUUAAGUAUCUUUUCUUUCAUAGGAAUCUCUAAGGAAAAACACAAUUCUUUGCUUGCAAAUCUAUGUAAAGAGAGAAAGUCCUUUAUAUGGUCUCAUACUAACUUGGCUGAUCUGUCUUAUGGCCUAGAGUUUUAGGUUGAUGAAAUUUAGCACAUGAUUGUAAAAAUCAGUUGAAUUGAGUCACAUGACCAUUUGCUCUAGCCAUUAGUCCUGUUAGGGGACUGGAUUUAUUCAUCUAAACAUGAUGCUUACACCAGUAAAUAAGAUUUGGGGUGACAAGCUGUGACAAUUGUAUCUGACCUUUGAUUUAAUUGAAGAUGUGGGAUAAGAAGUUAAUAUUAGAGAA
Gossypium raimondii (Peruvian cotton) is the source of this 2268-nucleotide long non-coding RNA. RefSeq lists it as uncharacterized. The transcript is spliced from 2 exons. The record is from RefSeq and is a predicted model, not a curated record. NCBI's taxonomy places the organism in Eukaryota, Viridiplantae, Streptophyta, Magnoliopsida, Malvales, Malvaceae.